UAUUGAAACACAGGUUCCCGUACGACACCGAAGUUAAGCAACUUCGGACCUGGUCAGUACUUAGAUGGGUAACCGUUUAGAAAUUCCAGGUGAAG
Non-coding RNA from Acanthosepion pharaonis, 95 nucleotides. The record is from the annotation of a GenBank genome assembly. NCBI's taxonomy places the organism in Eukaryota, Metazoa, Mollusca, Cephalopoda, Sepiida, Sepiidae.